CAUUAUGCCUGGGAAUGGCUUAUGGUUCAAACAAUUUAUUGCCGUAGGAUGGGACUGCGGCCUAUCAGCUUGUUGGUGGAGGUAAUGGCCCACCAAGGCUAUAACAGGUACGGGCUCUGAGAGGAGAAGCCCGGAGAUGGGUACUGAGACACGGACCCAGGCCCUAUGGGGCGCAGCAGGCGAGAAACCUUAGCAAUGUGCGAAAGCACGACUAGGUUAAUCCGAGUGAUUUCUGUUGAAGAAAUCUUUUGUCAGUCGUAAAACCACAGACGAAUAAGGGGUGGGCAAGUCUGGUGUCAGCCGCCGCGGUAAUACCAGCACCUCGAGUGGUCAGGAGGUUUAUUGGGCCUAAAGCAUCCGUAGCCGGCUUUGCAAGUCUCCGGUUAAAUCCAGCUGCUCAACAGAUGGGCUGCCGGAGAUACUACAAAGCUAGGGAGCGGGAGAGGCAGACGGUAUUCUGUGGGUAGGGGUAAAAUCCUUUGAUCCAUAGAGGACCACCAGUGGCGAAGGCGGUCUGCCAGAACGCGCUCGACGGUGAGGGAUGAAAGCUGGGGGAGCAAACCGGAUUAGAUACCCGGGUAGUCCCAGCUGUAAACGAUG
This 600-nucleotide ribosomal RNA is filed under the name uncultured archaeon. RNAcentral describes it as "bacterial SSU rRNA". It matches the Rfam family "Archaeal small subunit ribosomal RNA", at positions 162 to 762 of the family's 1478-position model. The record is from RNAcentral.